Long non-coding RNA from Mastomys coucha (southern multimammate mouse), 624 nucleotides. RefSeq lists it as uncharacterized. The transcript is spliced from 2 exons. The record is from RefSeq and is a predicted model, not a curated record. NCBI's taxonomy places the organism in Eukaryota, Metazoa, Chordata, Mammalia, Rodentia, Muridae.
CUGGACUCCAAGGUGUAUGACCCCUCCCUAGCCCAGGAAGAGACCUCCCUGCUGCCUUGUCAGCUUUGAACAAACAGGCCUGGUUUUUAGGAAGAUGAACAUGGUGAGAGUUGUCUCCAUGAGAAUGGCAAGCCCCUCCAGGGCCUUCUCCACAGGCUUCCAUCCAGUGCUUGGAGGAGACCCAGGCCACCAACUGUAAGAAAACAGGAGGAGUCAGUUCAAUGCCCAGCACACGGCAGCUUGCUCUCCAGGACAGGCUCAACAUGGCAUGCGCACCACCUGGGUCUGUAGGACUCUUGCAGUGUGAAAGGGGGGCGUGGUGACUUCAUGACCUUGCUAAGCCACUUAGUCAUCUUACUCCGAAGAGAAGAAUAAGCACAAGGGUGGAGAAAGCAAACAGAAGAGUGGUCCAGCUGCUCCGAGAACAAACAGAUCAUUUCAUUCGACAUUUAUGGGGAGCUAUUAAUUUCAUCCCAGACAAUCAAAUAGCAAAGGAUUUUCUAUUUAUCCUGACAGCAGGAAUUCUAGGCCGAUAUCAUCCUUUCAUUACAAAUGUCAUCACUUCAGUUAUCAUGGAAUGUCCUAGCAGAUAAAUAAAUAAACAAAGAGAGAAUGAAGCAAGAA